This 448-nucleotide ribosomal RNA is filed under the name uncultured bacterium. RNAcentral describes it as "bacterial SSU rRNA". It matches the Rfam family "Bacterial small subunit ribosomal RNA", at positions 28 to 458 of the family's 1533-position model. The record is from RNAcentral.
GAUGAACGCUGGCGGCGUGCUUAACACAUGCAAGUCGAGCGAAGCACUUUGGUUUGAUUCUUCGGAUGAAGACCUUUGUGACUGAGCGGCGGACGGGUGAGUAACGCGUGGGUAACCUGCCUCAUACAGGGGGAUAACAGUUAGAAAUGACUGCUAAUACCGCAUAAGACCACGGUACCGCAUGGUACAGUGGUAAAAACUCCGGUGGUAUGAGAUGGACCCGCGUCUGAUUAGGUAGUUGGUGGGGUAACGGCCUACCAAGCCGACGAUCAGUAGCCGACCUGAGAGGGUGACCGGCCACAUUGGGACUGAGACACGGCCCAGACUCCUACGGGAGGCAGCAGUGGGGAAUAUUGCACAAUGGAGGAAACUCUGAUGCAGCGACGCCGCGUGAAGGAUGAAGUAUUUCGGUAUGUAAACUUCUAUCAGCAGGGAAGAAAAUGACGGU